UUUGCGAAAUCCUCGAAAAAACCGAAAGAUGGAGAAAUGUGCUUACGUGGGUUAAAGUCAGAGGAACUGCAGUGCUUCUGACUUGCAAAUCGAUCAUCAAACGUGACUAUGUGGGAGAAAGGCUAAUCGAACCAUGUAGAAGCUGGUACCCUCUCAAGUUUCGCUCGGGAUAGCUGGCACUCACUCGCAUGACCAGUUUUAUCGAGUAAAGCGAAUGAUUAAAGGUACUGUGUUCGAAAAGAGCUCCAACUUUUCUCAAAAUUUAAAUGGAGGAUAGGCCCAACUCGCUUUAUAGGAGUUGGGUGAGGGCCAUGUGGGCCAUUUUUGGUAAUCAGAACUGGCGCUGUGAGAUGAAACAAACACCGAUUUUCAUACGUAAAAUUGGUGACGAAAUUGUGCUUCUAAAAUUUUCACUAUUUGUUGUGGAAAAGUA
Molecule: non-coding RNA, 433 nt
Filed under: Schistocephalus solidus
Lineage: Eukaryota; Metazoa; Platyhelminthes; Cestoda; Diphyllobothriidea; Diphyllobothriidae
Description: Eukaryotic large subunit ribosomal RNA
Rfam family: Eukaryotic large subunit ribosomal RNA
Source: Rfam by way of RNAcentral